Non-coding RNA from Agelaius phoeniceus (red-winged blackbird), 1099 nucleotides. The record is from RefSeq and is a predicted model, not a curated record. NCBI's taxonomy places the organism in Eukaryota, Metazoa, Chordata, Aves, Passeriformes, Icteridae.
GAAGUCAUUAGAUCUGUGUCCACUGCCUUUAUAGCACUUCAUGUUAACUCAUAUGGCUGAAAGAGCAGCUCUAAAAGGCCUGAACUGAAACGGAAAUAAGACAGAAAAGUGGAAAUACUUGUUUUUCAGUGUGCUGUGUAAAAACAAGUUUACAGAUGGUAGUCAGAUUGUUUGAAUGACCUGCCAGAGGUGAAAGAUGUUACUUGCAGAGCAUGCAGAAUACUCACCCUUGGAGCUUUCCAAAUCUUGGCUGGAUAAGACCCUGAGCAACCUGCUCUAACUUCAGAAGUGACUCUGCUUUGAACAGGGGCUUGGGUGAAAUGAUUUCCAGAAGUAUCUUCCAAUGUACUGCAUUGUUCCAUGGUUCUUUGCUUCUGUGUAUAUGUGACAAAGCCAAGACUGGAAAUUUAAUCCUGUUGGUCCAACAGGAAUUUGAACAAAAUGCUAUAUAAAUAUCAUAUAAUUAUCAUAAUAAUCUUCUUAAACCUCUGACUUCUGGUGGGAUAUGGGCUUAUACAGUUUGUAGCACGUUUUGAAAUCCUUCCUUUAGGUGCUUUGCUUAUUUUAUAAGUUAAGGUGAUACAUGCAAAACUAAAAUUAGUGGUUAUGCUAAUGUUUUUGCUUCUUCUGGUUUUCAUAAUAAUGUCAAUUACUACAAUUACAAUUGUUAAUGGUGUCUUAGUUUAUUUUCAAAAUUUGUCUCCACUGCAGAUUCUCUUUUGGGACAAAUUCCUGUAUUUGAUAGUUGGUCAUGGCAAAAAUGUUGAAUGGCUUUUCCCAAGUAAAUGUUCAGAAGUGCGUUUGUAAAUAUUUGUGUGUGCAAGCAGUGAGUUUCAGUGUAGCACAGCUUCUCACAAGACUGCCAUUUCAGGGGUGCUGCCAUGAGCUGGCCUCUUUGUGUAGAGCAUGAACCAUUUGCACUCCAGCUUCACAGAGCUCCUUUUCUAUUCUUAUGCUUCAUAUUGUUGUUUCUCUCAUGUAAUAUCUUUAUUAUACUGGGUUUUCUGUCAGUGAAGUCUGUUACUUUUGAUCUGGGAUAGGUGUUACAGCCAAAAACUAUUUUCAAAAAGUGGGCACAAGGAUUUGAUUAAAACUUGAA